This 784-nucleotide ribosomal RNA is filed under the name Kuwania sp. 191009-JY-01(IN_Mat2). RNAcentral describes it as "partial large subunit ribosomal RNA". It matches the Rfam family "Eukaryotic large subunit ribosomal RNA", at positions 2327 to 2856 of the family's 3401-position model. The record is from RNAcentral. Lineage: Eukaryota; Metazoa; Arthropoda; Insecta; Hemiptera; Kuwaniidae.
ACGAGAUUCUCACUGUCCCUAUCUACUUUCUAGCGAAACCACAGCCAAGGGAACGGGCUUGGAAUAAUCAGCGGGGAAAGAAGACCCUUUAGAGCUUGACUCCAGUCCGGCAUUGUUCGGAGACAUGCCGAGGUGUAGCAUAAGUGGGAGGUGAGGAUAAGCCGUGCGGCGGAUUCGUCUUGUCGCGCGGUGCCUUGUCGCCCUUGAAAUACCACUACUCGCAUCGUUUCCUUACUUACUCGGUAAUGCGGAGCGCGUGCUGUCACGCCUGUGGUUUCGUCUGGCACGGCGAUCCGUUCGCGUUCGCAUCGUCGCGCGCGUUCGGUCACGUGUCGCGUACCCGUUACGGCUGGCACGCACGAUCGAUUCCCGGUAGUCUUAAGCGCAGAUACCGUCGUCCGUAAUUUACAAAGCCGGCUGCGACGCGGCGCUUCGCCGUUCGGUUCGAACGUGGCAACGCGUUCGGUCGGGCGCGAGCGCCGUUUGCGGCCGGUUGCGGACGUCGUUGCGCGAUCCGAUCCGAGGACACGGCCAGGUGGGGAGUUUGACUGGGGCGGUACAUCUGUCAAAGAAUAACGCAGGUGUCCUAAGGCCAGCUCAGCGAGGACGGAAACCUCGCGUAGAGCAAAAGGGCAAAAGCUGGCUUGAUCCCGGACGCUCAGUACGCGUAGGGACUGCGAAAGCAUCGGCCUCUCGAUCCUCUCGUCUGCUGAAGAGUUUUCAGCGAGAGGUGUCAGAAAAGUUACCUCAGGGAUAACUGGCUUGUGGCAGCCAAGCGUUCAUA